Non-coding RNA from Taeniopygia guttata (zebra finch), 490 nucleotides. NCBI's taxonomy places the organism in Eukaryota, Metazoa, Chordata, Aves, Passeriformes, Estrildidae. The record is from RefSeq and is a predicted model, not a curated record.
GAACCUGCCGAGAGGAGGGAGAAAAAAAACCUACAUUAAACCCAGGAAAGGUUGGCCACGUGUGGGCGGGUCUUGGAAGUCAAGUGGAUGAAGACAGUGUUUGCAGAUGUGAAAUUGCGGGUUUUGGGCGAGCUCCGAGCUUCCACCAUUGGUGAUGAGUGGACAUGGGAAAGGACGGAGAGAGGCAAAGAAGGGGUUCCUUUCCAAGGGAAGGCCAGCACCCCAGGUGUCACCACGCUCGCACACAGCCGCACUUGGCCCCGGCUCCGCGGAGCCCGCAGCAUGCCCGGCCGCGGGUCCCGCGGAGAAGCUCUGGGGGCUCGCCUGGCCUGCUGCAGGAUGCAGCGACCCCCACACACACACACUUCUCUCUGUCUGCCACCAACUUUUAUUUUAAUUUCCCUUCUUCCUUCGUCCUGUUCUCUGCACCCGCCGAGAAGCAUUGGCCGUGUACACACUCAUGGGGCAGGAUCUGGAUCGUUUUCCCUUU